This 266-nucleotide unclassified non-coding RNA is filed under the name uncultured fungus. Its description in RNAcentral is "sequence contains ITS1, 5.8S rRNA gene". The stretch from base 218 to 266 matches the Rfam family "5.8S ribosomal RNA", at positions 1 to 49 of the family's 154-position model. Lineage: Eukaryota; Fungi. The record is from RNAcentral.
UUUCCGUAGGUGAACCUGCGGAAGGAUCAUUAGUGAACGAGGGCUCUUUGGCCGACCAAACCUGUCGCAAGCGUGGGAGGGACCCUCCGGGGUCCUUCGCCAAAUGCCGCCUGUAGGCGUGGCGGCCGAGGGGCCCGUAACCAACCACAACCGUGAACCCGUCGUCCUCGGACGAUACAUCUCCUGGGGUAGAGAAAGUGAUACACAUAAACAGUAUAACUGUCAGCAACGGAUCUCUUGGCUCUCGCAUCGAUGAAGAACGCAGC